This 428-nucleotide ribosomal RNA is filed under the name uncultured bacterium. Its description in RNAcentral is "bacterial SSU rRNA". It matches the Rfam family "Bacterial small subunit ribosomal RNA", at positions 355 to 775 of the family's 1533-position model. The record is from RNAcentral.
UGGGGAAUCUUGCGCAAUGCGCGAAAGCGUGACGCAGCAACACCGCGUGAGGGAAGACGGCCUUCGGGUUGUAAACCUCUUUCAGGAGGGACGAAGGACGGCCGGUGAAUAGCCGUGUCGUCUGACGGUACCUCCAGAAGAAGCUCCGGCUAACUACGUGCCAGCAGCCGCGGUAAUACGUAGGGAGCAAGCGUUGUCCGGAAUCAUUGGGCGUAAAGCGCGCGUAGGCGGCCCGAUAAGUCCGCUGUGAAAGUCAACGGCUCAACUGUUGGAUGCCGGUGGAUACUGUCGGGCUAGAGUACGGAAGAGGCAAGUGGAAUUCCUGGUGUAGCGGUGGAAUGCGCAGAUAUCAGGAGGAACACCUAUAGCGAAGGCAGCUUGCUGGGACGUUACUGACGCUAAGGCGCGAAAGCGUGGGGAGCGAACAG